AUGCCAGAGAUGCUAGUGUUGGUUUCCGCAAUUAUGGCCUGCACUGUUGUCAUACUGUGUAUGCUGGUGACCGCAGUGUGGGUAGUACCAAAGGUGAAGGCCCUGUGUGCGAGGCGGAGAGAAGACAGGUCCAAGGCUCAUAACGUAGUCCAUAACGCAGUUUAUGAAGAUAUGCGCGCCCACCGUAUGCGACAGAUCUAAUUUGAGCCCCCCUUUCCUGCACUCAGUGGUUUAAGGUUUGCCCUAUUCAUCAUUGCUGGAUGCGCAAAACAACCUCGUUUGCUCUUCCAAUGCAGAUACGAAAGACUUCAUUUUUGCUGCUGUCGGGACAAAAUCUCGUAUCCCCAUUUUUGUUGUUUGUCAGUUUUUCACAUAAUUUGAAUGUACCUUUUGGCCUUUAAAUUGCGUGCAAAUUUCAUGAUUAAUGGACCAAUAUAAAUGACCUAAAAUGACUUGGGGAACAAUUCUGGUUCCAUUGACCUACAAGUGUAAAGUAUGUUUUUCCUCUACCUGUAAAGUUUCCAUUACAGGAGAUACAAGGUAUUUUACAUUUUUCCCCCUUUUUACCAUAAUUAAAAAAACACCUGCUGACCUUUACAUUGUGUAAAAAAUUCAUGAUGAACGAAGCAUUUUAAAUGCUUCAAUGACUUCGAAAAAAAAUCUGUCUGCAUUAACGUCCACUUACGGUUUUUACCUGUAAAAUGACCAUUUUGGAGAUACAACGUUUUGUUCCGACUGCAAUGACAUUUUACUAAUACAAAGUAAAUCACUUUUGUCGGAAGAAAACCUUGUAUCUCUAAAACUGUAACUUUACAGGAGGUAAAAAAAAAUCAAUGGAACCAGAAUUUUUUACAUUUUAGGCCGCUUCUUUCAGUCCAUUCAUUAUGAAAUUUACAUAUAAUGUAAAGAGCAAAAGGCAUUUUCAAAUUAUGUCAAAAACUGAAAAACGGGAGAUGCAAGAUUUUCUUCUGACAGCAGCGAAAUGCUGCAUUAUGUGUAUAUUGCUGUAUAUUGCUGUAAAUAGAUACUUUUAAAAUAUUUUGUAAUAUAAUGCCAAUAUGUUCUAAAGGUGCAACUAAUAAAUAAAUAAAUACUUAUGUUUGUUACAAUGCAUGCAAGUUUACUUCUCUUUCACUUACACACACACACACAGAUAUUAUAUACAUUUUCUAAGCCGCUUCUCACUUGGGGUCACGGGGGGUGCUGGAGCCUAUCCCAGCUGACAUCGGGACGUGCCACCAGUCCAUCAC
Molecule: long non-coding RNA, 1250 nt
Organism: Pygocentrus nattereri (red-bellied piranha)
Lineage: Eukaryota; Metazoa; Chordata; Actinopteri; Characiformes; Serrasalmidae
Source: Ensembl